RNAcentral lists this ribosomal RNA (2906 nucleotides) under Escherichia coli. Its description in RNAcentral is "23S ribosomal RNA". It matches the Rfam family "Bacterial large subunit ribosomal RNA". The record is from RNAcentral. Lineage: Bacteria; Pseudomonadati; Pseudomonadota; Gammaproteobacteria; Enterobacterales; Enterobacteriaceae.
GGUUAAGCGACUAAGCGUACACGGUGGAUGCCCUGGCAGUCAGAGGCGAUGAAGGACGUGCUAAUCUGCGAUAAGCGUCGGUAAGGUGAUAUGAACCGUUAUAACCGGCGAUUUCCGAAUGGGGAAACCCAGUGUGAUUCGUCACACUAUCAUUAACUGAAUCCAUAGGUUAAUGAGGCGAACCGGGGGAACUGAAACAUCUAAGUACCCCGAGGAAAAGAAAUCAACCGAGAUUCCCCCAGUAGCGGCGAGCGAACGGGGAGCAGCCCAGAGCCUGAAUCAGUGUGUGUGUUAGUGGAAGCGUCUGGAAAGGCGCGCGAUACAGGGUGACAGCCCCGUACACAAAAAUGCACAUACUGUGAGCUCGAUGAGUAGGGCGGGACACGUGGUAUCCUGUCUGAAUAUGGGGGGACCAUCCUCCAAGGCUAAAUACUCCUGACUGACCGAUAGUGAACCAGUACCGUGAGGGAAAGGCGAAAAGAACCCCGGCGAGGGGAGUGAAAAAGAACCUGAAACCGUGUACGUACAAGCAGUGGGAGCACAGAGCAAUCUGUGUGACUGCGUACCUUUUGUAUAAUGGGUCAGCGACUUAUAUUCUGUAGCAAGGUUAACCGAAUAGGGGAGCCGAAGGGAAACCGAGUCUUAACUGGGCGUUAAGUUGCAGGGUAUAGACCCGAAACCCGGUGAUCUAGCCAUGGGCAGGUUGAAGGUUGGGUAACACUAACUGGAGGACCGAACCGACUAAUGUUGAAAAAUUAGCGGAUGACUUGUGGCUGGGGGUGAAAGGCCAAUCAAACCGGGAGAUAGCUGGUUCUCCCCGAAAGCUAUUUAGGUAGCGCCUCGUGAAUUCAUCUCCGGGGGUAGAGCACUGUUUCGGCAAGGGGGUCAUCCCGACUUACCAACCCGAUGCAAACUGCGAAUACCGGAGAAUGUUAUCACGGGAGACACACGGCGGGUGCUAACGUCCGUCGUGAAGAGGGAAACAACCCAGACCGCCAGCUAAGGUCCCAAAGUCAUGGUUAAGUGGGAAACGAUGUGGGAAGGCCCAGACAGCCAGGAUGUUGGCUUAGAAGCAGCCAUCAUUUAAAGAAAGCGUAAUAGCUCACUGGUCGAGUCGGCCUGCGCGGAAGAUGUAACGGGGCUAAACCAUGCACCGAAGCUGCGGCAGCGACGCUGAUGCGUUGUUGGGUAGGGGAGCGUUCUGUAAGCCUGUGAAGGUGUACUGUGAGGUAUGCUGGAGGUAUCAGAAGUGCGAAUGCUGACAUAAGUAACGAUAAAGCGGGUGAAAAGCCCGCUCGCCGGAAGACCAAGGGUUCCUGUCCAACGUUAAUCGGGGCAGGGUGAGUCGACCCCUAAGGCGAGGCCGAAAGGCGUAGUCGAUGGGAAACAGGUUAAUAUUCCUGUACUUGGUGUUACUGCGAAGGGGGGACGGAGAAGGCUAUGUUGGCCGGGCGACGGUUGUCCCGGUUUAAGCGUGUAGGCUGGUUUUCCAGGCAAAUCCGGAAAAUCAAGGCUGAGGCGUGAUGACGAGGCACUACGGUGCUGAAGCAACAAAUGCCCUGCUUCCAGGAAAAGCCUCUAAGCAUCAGGUAACAUCAAAUCGUACCCCAAACCGACACAGGUGGUCAGGUAGAGAAUACCAAGGCGCUUGAGAGAACUCGGGUGAAGGAACUAGGCAAAAUGGUGCCGUAACUUCGGGAGAAGGCACGCUGAUAUGUAGGUGAAGUCCCUCGCGGAUGGAGCUGAAAUCAGUCGAAGAUACCAGCUGGCUGCAACUGUUUAUUAAAAACACAGCACUGUGCAAACACGAAAGUGGACGUAUACGGUGUGACGCCUGCCCGGUGCCGGAAGGUUAAUUGAUGGGGUCAGCGCAAGCGAAGCUCUUGAUCGAAGCCCCGGUAAACGGCGGCCGUAACUAUAACGGUCCUAAGGUAGCGAAAUUCCUUGUCGGGUAAGUUCCGACCUGCACGAAUGGCGUAAUGAUGGCCAGGCUGUCUCCACCCGAGACUCAGUGAAAUUGAACUCGCUGUGAAGAUGCAGUGUACCCGCGGCAAGACGGAAAGACCCCGUGAACCUUUACUAUAGCUUGACACUGAACAUUGAGCCUUGAUGUGUAGGAUAGGUGGGAGGCUUUGAAGUGUGGACGCCAGUCUGCAUGGAGCCGACCUUGAAAUACCACCCUUUAAUGUUUGAUGUUCUAACGUUGACCCGUAAUCCGGGUUGCGGACAGUGUCUGGUGGGUAGUUUGACUGGGGCGGUCUCCUCCUAAAGAGUAACGGAGGAGCACGAAGGUUGGCUAAUCCUGGUCGGACAUCAGGAGGUUAGUGCAAUGGCAUAAGCCAGCUUGACUGCGAGCGUGACGGCGCGAGCAGGUGCGAAAGCAGGUCAUAGUGAUCCGGUGGUUCUGAAUGGAAGGGCCAUCGCUCAACGGAUAAAAGGUACUCCGGGGAUAACAGGCUGAUACCGCCCAAGAGUUCAUAUCGACGGCGGUGUUUGGCACCUCGAUGUCGGCUCAUCACAUCCUGGGGCUGAAGUAGGUCCCAAGGGUAUGGCUGUUCGCCAUUUAAAGUGGUACGCGAGCUGGGUUUAGAACGUCGUGAGACAGUUCGGUCCCUAUCUGCCGUGGGCGCUGGAGAACUGAGGGGGGCUGCUCCUAGUACGAGAGGACCGGAGUGGACGCAUCACUGGUGUUCGGGUUGUCAUGCCAAUGGCACUGCCCGGUAGCUAAAUGCGGAAGAGAUAAGUGCUGAAAGCAUCUAAGCACGAAACUUGCCCCGAGAUGAGUUCUCCCUGACCCUUUAAGGGUCCUGAAGGAACGUUGAAGACGACGACGUUGAUAGGCCGGGUGUGUAAGCGCAGCGAUGCGUUGAGCUAACCGGUACUAAUGAACCGUGAGGCUUAACCUU